This 86-nucleotide transfer RNA is filed under the name Mycobacterium sp. Its description in RNAcentral is "tRNA-Tyr". It matches the Rfam family "tRNA". From Rfam's summary of the family: Transfer RNA (tRNA) molecules are approximately 80 nucleotides in length. Their secondary structure includes four short double-helical elements and three loops (D, anti-codon, and T loops). Further hydrogen bonds mediate the characteristic L-shaped molecular structure. tRNAs have two regions of fundamental functional importance: the anti-codon, which is responsible for specific mRNA codon recognition, and the 3' end, to which the tRNAs corresponding amino acid is attached (by aminoacyl-tRNA synthetases). tRNAs cope with the degeneracy of the genetic code in two manners: having more than one tRNA (with a specific anti-codon) for a particular amino acid; and 'wobble' base-pairing, i.e. permitting non-standard base-pairing at the 3rd anti-codon position. Lineage: Bacteria; Bacillati; Actinomycetota; Actinomycetes; Mycobacteriales; Mycobacteriaceae. The record is from RNAcentral. RNAcentral also lists the same sequence under 3 other names.
GGCAGGUUGCCCGAGUGGCCAAUGGGAGCGGACUGUAAAUCCGUCGGCUUACGCCUACACUGGUUCGAAUCCAGUACCUGCCACCA